RNAcentral lists this ribosomal RNA (270 nucleotides) under uncultured archaeon. RNAcentral describes it as "partial 16S ribosomal RNA". It matches the Rfam family "Archaeal small subunit ribosomal RNA", at positions 477 to 747 of the family's 1478-position model. The record is from RNAcentral.
CUGCAGCUCGAGUGGUGAUCAUUAUUAUUGGGCCUAAAACGUUCGUAGCCUGUCUUAUAAAUGCCUGGGUAAAUCGUGCCGCUUAACGGUACGAAUUCCGGGUAGACUGUAAGACUUGAGACCGGGUGAGGCUAGAGGUACUCCCGGGGUAGAGGUGAAAUUCUGUAAUCCUAGGGGGACCACCAGUGGCGAAGGCGUCUAGCUAGAACGGGUCUGACGGUGAGGAACGAAGCCCUGGGGCGCAAACCGGAUUAGAUACCCGAGUAGUCC